This 683-nucleotide ribosomal RNA is filed under the name uncultured Nitrososphaerota archaeon. RNAcentral's name for it is "bacterial SSU rRNA". It matches the Rfam family "Archaeal small subunit ribosomal RNA", at positions 78 to 764 of the family's 1478-position model. The record is from RNAcentral. Lineage: Archaea; Thermoproteati; Nitrososphaerota.
GUGGCAUACGGCUCAGUAACACGUAGUCAACAUGCCCAGGGGACGUGGAUAACCUCGGGAAACUGAGGAUAAACCACGAUAGGUCAUAAUAUCUGGAAUGAUUUAUGGCUAAAAUCUACAUGGCCCCUGGAUUGGACUGCGGCCGAUCAGGCUGUUGGUGAGGUAAUGGCCCACCAAACCUAAAACCGGUACGGGCUCUGAGAGGAGAAGCCCGGAGAUGGGCACUGAGACAAGGGCCCAGGCCCUAUGGGGCGCAGCAGGCGCGAAAACUCUGCAAUAAGCGAAAGCUUGACAGGGUUAUUCUGAGUGAUUUCCGCUAAGGAAAUCUUUUGGCACCUCUAAAAAUGGUGCAGAAUAAGGGGUGGGCAAGCCUGGUGUCAGCCGCCGCGGUAAUACCAGCACCCCGAGUGGUCGGGACGAUUAUUGGGCCUAAAGCAUCCGUAGCCGGUUCUACAAGUCUUCCGUUAAAUCCAUCUGCUUAACAGAUGGGCUGCGGAGGAUACUAUGGAGCUAGGAGGCGGGAGAGGCAAGCGGUACUUAGUGGGUAGGGGUAAAAUCCGUUGAUCCACUGAAGACCACCAGUGGCGAAGGCGGCUUGCCAGAACGCGCUCGACGGUGAGGGAUGAAAGCUGGGGGAGCAAACCGGAUUAGAUACCCGGGUAGUCCCAGCUGUAAACGAUGCA